GACGAACGCUGACGGCGUGCUUAACACAUGCAAGUCGAACGGUGAAGCGCCUUCCUUUUUGGUGGGUGUGGAUGAGUGGCGAACGGGUGAGUAACACGUGAGUAACCUGCCCCCUUCUUCUGGAUAACCGCAUGAAAGUGUGGCUAAUACGGGAUAUUCUGGGUCUGUCGCAUGAUGGGUCUGGGAAAGAUAUUGUUUCGGUGGGGGAUGGGCUCGCGGCCUAUCAGCUUGUUGGUGGGGUGAUGGCCUACCAAGGCGGUGACGGGUAGCCGGCCUGAGAGGGUGGACGGUCACACGGGGACUGAGACACGGCCCAGACUCCUACGGGAGGCAGCAGUGGGGAAUAUUGCACAAUGGGCGCAAGCCUGAUGCAGCGACGCCGCGUGAGGGAUGGAGGCCUGCGGGUUGUGAACCUCUUUCGCCAGUGAAGCAGGCCUGCCUCGUUUGUGGGUGGGUUGACGGUAGCUGGAGAAGAAGCGCCGGCUAACUACGUG
RNAcentral lists this ribosomal RNA (494 nucleotides) under uncultured bacterium. Its description in RNAcentral is "partial 16S ribosomal RNA". It matches the Rfam family "Bacterial small subunit ribosomal RNA", at positions 28 to 507 of the family's 1533-position model. The record is from RNAcentral.